GGAUCCCCGCAAUGGGAGCCCGCGAACCUGGUCAGGUGAGAAAUCAAGCAGCCAUAAACGGUAACUUUUAUGUGCUGGGGAUUC
This 84-nucleotide signal recognition particle RNA is filed under the name bovine gut metagenome. RNAcentral describes it as "Bacterial small signal recognition particle RNA". It matches the Rfam family "Bacterial small signal recognition particle RNA". Rfam says of the family: The signal recognition particle (SRP) is a universally conserved ribonucleoprotein involved in the co-translational targeting of proteins to membranes. The record is from RNAcentral.